This is a non-coding RNA of Vicia faba (fava bean), 225 nucleotides long. NCBI's taxonomy places the organism in Eukaryota, Viridiplantae, Streptophyta, Magnoliopsida, Fabales, Fabaceae. The record is from the annotation of a GenBank genome assembly.
AUGCUUGAAGCAAUUCUUGGAAACCUUCACAAUAACAAACUCAUUAGUAGCAUGAGAGGGAUAAAAAUAAAACCAAAUGAAAUUGCAACAAUUAGAAAAUGUAUUAGUAAUCACAAGGAAACUAAACCAAAGAAACUCGUGCUAUUAUUCAAUCCAAAAUCGAAAUAUAGAAAGUUGAUUUCGAAACAAGCUAAGAUCAAACAAAUCAAAUCAGGGCAGCCAUGA